RNAcentral lists this long non-coding RNA (3118 nucleotides) under Cairina moschata (Muscovy duck). RNAcentral describes it as "domestica (muscovy Duck (domestic type)) lncRNA (ENSCMMG00000016804.1)". The record is from RNAcentral. Lineage: Eukaryota; Metazoa; Chordata; Aves; Anseriformes; Anatidae.
AAUGACUGUUCUUUUAUCUUUUAAGUAAUUUGCAAUUACAUUUGUAGUUUAUUGUUGAAAUGAGCUAUGAUCUUUUCACCAUGGACGAACAGGUGGCUCCUAGCUGAAGUAAAGGUGAAAUGUACCUGUGUGUAAACACACCUGAGAUACUUCUUCCUUAAAGAGCAAUCAUAUGUAUGGGUCAGAAGCAAACUAAAGAUCAAACUUUAUUGAACAAGUAGCUAAGCAAAGAGUUGAUCUAAGUUUUUCUUCCUAAUCCUUUUAUAUAUAUAUAUAUAUAUAUAUAUAUAUAUAAAAUGAUUACUUUUAUUCAUCAGUGCUUCAUUAUCAGAAUCCUCAAAAUGUUUUCAGCCUGGUGAAUGUUUUCAGUAACAUGCAAUGUACAAACUGUUAGAAUUAACAUCUGUUCAAUUGAAGUGAGCCCAAGUGUGGAAUUUGAGCCCAAAUCUGGGGUUUUGUGACCGCUGGCUUGCUAAAACAUCCUCUCCAUCGGCCACCGCAACACGUGGCAGAAUUGUUCAGCUUGGGGCUUCCCACAGACCAAAUGCAUUUCUAGUGUAACGUGACUGGCUCCAACACUUCACUCCAGAAAUAACAUCGUUGAACUGUGAUCUCAUCUGCUUAUUUUGAUAAUUCACAUUAUCUUACUGUAAUGGUUUCAUAUCUAAAAGAAUUUGCAUUUUGCUCUCCUAAGGAAAAAGGUAAGAUUAAAUGUCAACUAAGCAUGAUGUGAACGAGCAGUACCUGGAAGGUGACUUUGGAAACGAAAAAAAUUAUUGGACUUAAGUCACUUUUUUUUCCAUGAUGGAGACUGAGCAGAACAGCAAUAUUUUCACCACGUCCUUGCUGCAAGUUUUGAGUAAAAAUGGGAGGAAAACCAAAAAUUGAUGCUCUGAGGGGAAUUCUGACGGCUCUCCAAACCUCUGCCUUCUAUCAGGUUUCGAAACGGACAUUUUGGUGGAGAAAUGGCGAGGAUUUAACACCAUUUCCUUGCCAGGCGCUGAGGAAAUUCCCGGCGGGGCCCGACAGCCGCUGUGCCCGGGGCCGCUCCCGCCGUGACUCAGCGCCCGCCCUGAGGCGCGGCGCCGAGGGCCGGGGUCUCGCUGCGCGGGCUCUGCCCCCGGGCGUCGCCUCAGAGCCGAGCGGGGCGCGGCCGCUCCCCACCCCCCUCCACACCCCGGUUUCGUCCCGGAGCGGUGCCGCUGCCUCCCUCCGCCCGCUACCGGGCGGCGCCUCAGGCCGGGGGGGACCGCCAGGCGAGGCGAGGCGAGGCGGGAGGGAGGCUGGGCGCCGGGCCUCCCCCGGGAGCGGCGCCUCGGCCCGGCCCGGCCCCGGCCGAGCCCGCCCCUCUCCCAGUCUCCUCCGCGGCUCCCCCUCCCCGAGCCGGGCGGGGCCGCAGCUCGCAGCGCCGCCGCUCCUUGUGCCGCCUCUCCCCGCUGACCAAGGGCACCGCCGGGACCCUCUCCGGCCGCCCCCCCCCGUCCCCGCCGCCGCCUCAGCCGCAGCCGGCGCUGCCCGCGGAGCCGCCAUGAGCUGGGGCACGGAGCUGUGGGAUCAGUUCGAUAACUUAGACAAGCAUACGCAGUGGGGCAUUGACUUCUUGGAGAAAUAUGCAAAAUUUGUAAAAGAAAGGAUAGAAAUUGAGCAAAACUAUGCAAAACAACUGAGAAAUCUGGUUAAGAAGUACUGUCCUAAACGUUCAUCCAAAGAUGAAGAACCCAGGUUUACUUCAUGUAUUGCCUUUUUUAACAUCCUUAAUGAGCUGAAUGACUAUGCAGGACAACGUGAAGUAGUUGCAGAAGAAAUGGGACACAGAGUCUAUGGAGAAUUGAUGAGAUACUCUCAUGAUCUAAAAACUGAGAGAAAAAUGCAUCUUCAGGAAGGGCGAAAGGCUCAACAAUAUCUGGACAUGUGCUGGAAACAGAUGGAUAAUGUAAAUUAUAAUAAUGCUAUAAUGCUAUCAUAUAAUAAUGCUAAGCAACAGUUAAACCUGCGCACACACAUGGCUGAUGAAAACAAAAAUGAAUAUGCUGCACAACUACAGAAUUUUAAUGGGGAACAACACAAACAUUACUACAUUGUCAUUCCUCAGAUUUAUAAGCAACUUCAAGAAAUGGAUGAAAGAAGGACCAUCAAACUCAGUGAAUGUUACAGGGGCUUUGCUGACUCUGAGCGCAAGGUUAUUCCGAUAAUCUCUAAAUGCUUAGAAGGGAUGAUCCUUGCAGCAAAAUCAGUUGAUGAACAUAGGGACUCCCAGCUAGUGAUAGACUGCUUCAAAUCUGGUUUUGAACCUCCUGGAGAUUUUCCAUUUGAAGAUUACAGUCAGAAUAUUUACAGAACUAUCUCUGAUGGAACCAUCAGUACACCAAAGCAGGAAGGAAUGAGAAUUGAUUCAAAAACUACAGUGGGCAAGGCUAAAGGAAAGCUGUGGCUGUUUGGAAAGAAGCCAAAGGGCCCUGCACUAGAAGACUUCAGCCACCUCCCUCCAGAACAAAGGCGCAAGAAACUGCAGCAGAGAAUUGAUGAACUCAACAGAGAACUACAGAAGGAAACUGACCAAAAAGAUGCCCUCAUCAAGAUGAAAGAUGUUUAUGAAAAAAAUCCCCAGAUGGGUGAUCCAAGCAGUCUGCAACCAAAAUUAGCUGAGACAAUGAGCAACAUGGACCGUCUUCGGAUGGAAAUACACAAGAAUGAGGCCUGGCUCUCUGAAGUUGAAGGUAAAGUAGCAGCCAGAAGCGACAGGCGGCACAGCAGUGAUAUCAACCACCUUGUAACACAGGGCAGAGAGAGCCCUGAAGGGAGUUACACGGACGAUGCAAAUCAGGAAGUUCGAGGCCCACCACAGCAGCAUGCACAUCCAAAUGAAUUUGAUGAUGAGUUUGAAGAUGAUGAUCCAUUACCGGCUAUAGGACAUUGCAAGGCAAUAUAUCCCUUUGAUGGUCAUAACGAAGGCACUCUAGCAAUGAAAGAAGGAGAAAUUUUAUACAUUAUUGAGGAGGACAAAGGAGAUGGGUGGACAAGAGCUCGGAGACAAAAUGGAGAGGAAGGCUAUGUACCAACGUCAUAUAUAGAUGUAACGCUAGAGAAAAACAGCAAAGGUGCAGUAACCUAUAUCUAA